AUUGAACGCUGGCGGUAGGCCUAACACAUGCAAGUCGAACGGCAGCACAGUAAGAGCUUGCUCUUACGGGUGGCGAGUGGCGGACGGGUGAUGAAUACAUCGGAAUCUACUUUUUCUUGGGUGAGAACGUAGGGAAACUUACGCUAAUACCGCAUACGACCUACGGGUGAAAGCAGGGGAUCUUCGGACCUUGCGCGAUUGAAUGAGCCGAUGUCGGAUUAGCUAGUUGGCGGGGUAAAGGCCCACCAAGGCGACGAUCCGUAGCUGGUCUGAGAGGAUGAUCAGCCACACUGGAACUGAGACACGGUCCAGACUCCUACGGGAGGCAGCAGUGGGGAAUAUUGGACAAUGGGCGAAAGCCUGAUCCAGCCAUACCGCGUGGAUGAAGAAGGCCUUCGGGUUGUAAAGCACUUUUGUUGGGAAAGAAAAGCAGCAGGUUAAUACCCUGCUGUUCUGACGGUACCAAAAGAAUAAGCACCGGCUAACUUCGUG
RNAcentral lists this ribosomal RNA (492 nucleotides) under uncultured bacterium. Its description in RNAcentral is "partial 16S ribosomal RNA". It matches the Rfam family "Bacterial small subunit ribosomal RNA", at positions 30 to 507 of the family's 1533-position model. The record is from RNAcentral.